Molecule: long non-coding RNA, 729 nt
Organism: Diabrotica virgifera virgifera (western corn rootworm)
Lineage: Eukaryota; Metazoa; Arthropoda; Insecta; Coleoptera; Chrysomelidae
Exons: 2
Source: RefSeq, a predicted model, not a curated record
UGUACAGAUGUUACAGCUAUGUACAUUCUCUGGUGAAAAACUAAUGAGUUUUCAAGCUGUUCGGUCAGAGUGCUUGUUGCGCUCUCUAAACGAACUGAAAUAUAAGACGGCUUAGGCUUCAUGUUGCAGUGAUAUGAAAAUGGUGUCUGUGGAUCUUUUUGUAUGCAAAAAUUUGUAAUAAUUAUUUGAAAUCAUUUUGAGGAUUAUUAGAGUAUGGAAAUAUAUGUGAGAACACAUACUAUUAUAGUUUUGUCCUAUUUUUUAUCAUUCAAUAGUCUUCUUAAAAUUUAUAAAUAUAAAGCAGAUAGUUUUCAUUGAAAUUCAAUAUAUUGGGUCUUAUUUGUAUGUAUUAAUUUUUGACUAAAGGUACGAUUCCGAUAACGACUGCAGACAGCAACUGCAAACAUCAGUUGCAGUUCUCGGCGUUAUGGACGUUACUACUUUGCACUAUUUAUCUGUAUGAGACUUAUUCCGACAUCUGACUGCAACUGCUGUCUGGCAGAACGUCAGUUGCUAAUAAUUAUGCAAAUUAUUAGUGCAAAAUAAUGACGUCUGUCAUGGUGACAACUGUAACUGCCAUCUGCAGUCGUUGUCGGAAUCGUACCUUUAAAGUGUGUGGUAUAAUUAUAAUAAUUAUAUAUAUUAUAUAACUUAAAUGGUUUAAACUUAAGUUUGUUAUUACAUUGUGACUUAAAUGUUUAAUUUGUUAAUAAAUGAUUUAUUAGUUUA